GACUCCCAAAGUGCUGAGAUUACAGGAGUGAGCCACCAUGCCCAGCCUUCUUUCUCUAUUUUUCAGCUGUCCUUUAGUCUUGUUGAUAGUGUCCUUCCUUGAAAAGAAGUCCUUAAUUUAUUUCUUUGGUUGCCCUUAUCCAUGUCAAAUUAUACUAACACCUUUUACUAUCUUUGUUGAAAUUUACUAAAUGAUAUGAAAAUGUCAUGUCAGAUGACUUGUUCUCCUUUCACUUACCCUUCAGCUGUUGUACAUUAUUUUUUUCUGAACCCAGUAAACUACAAUCUGUGUUUAGUAAAAGUCAGGAAAUGGCAGGCCUUAUUCAAUAACAGAAACACUGCAACUAAUCAGGAACAUUUGGUAUUCCAGCACAUUUCCUUGCAAUCAGGCUGCUCACAUGUGGAUUUGAUCUCCUGUGGUUGGGCCAGAACUUACAGUACCCUCCCCUUAAGGGCUCCUUAGGGUACCUGCUGAGACACAUCAGGACAAGUAGUAAACAGCUCUUUGGACAUCAGUACAAGUGACAGCAGGUGUCAAUCAGAACAAGCAAGAGCUGGAAAGGAGCUCAGGGAUCAUCCAGUUCGACCCCCGUUGUACAGAUGCAGGUACUGGGGCCAAGGGAAAUAAAUGAGCUUGUCCAAGUCACACAGCUGUCAGUGAAUUGCUAGGACUAGAACCCAGAUCUCUUCACUCCCAAUUAGUGCGUUUUCAGUUUUUCUGCCUGCCUUAAGAGGAUGUCAGAAACCGUUUCUUGAAGGGCUCUUGAUCAGAUCCAGGACUUAAUCCAGAAAGUCAGCAUCCUGCAGAAUUUGGAUCCAUUCAACCUCUCCAACCUUACCUUUGGCCAUUCUGAGUUAGUUCUUGCCUCAUUCCUCUAAAGCUCCAUGCUCUACUCUUACCUUUAAGCCUUUGCAUAUGUUGUGGUCGUGCACGAUCAUGCCAGGCAUCCCCUUCCUUCUUCUCCAUGCCUUCAAGUGCUCAUCAUUGGAGGUACUACCUCCUUCAUGCCACUAUUAACUAGCAUUAUUCUCUCCCUUCUUUAGGUUUUCAUGGCAUCUGUGGUCGACACAAAUGCAAUUUAGGCUUGAUUAUAUGCUGCCUUUUUUUCUGGAAUAUUUCUGAUGUAUGAGUGACUGAGCAAGUCACUUAAUGUCUCUGUGCCUCACUCAAUUUAUUCACUAAUAAAAAGGAAGAGUUCAUAAAUCAUUUAUAAAGAUGCUUCCUGUAACAGUCUAUGUCUCCGUAAGAUUUUAAACUCCUCAAAGAAAGUGACUCUUUCUUCUAUUUCUCUUGGAAUUCCCUUAGUCUACUUGUUCUCAUCUGGGGACAAAAUUGGUACUUAGGGACAUUUAACAAUGUUUGGAGAUAUUUUUGGUUGUCAUAUCUGGGGAGGGAGGUGCUUCUGGAGUCUAGUGAAUAGAGGCCAGGGAUGAUACUAAACAUUCUGUAACACACAAGAUGGCCCCCUACAAAAAGGGGUUUCCAGCUCAAAAUGUCAAUAAUAGCAAACUUGAGAGAUUCUGCCUUAGUCUGUAAGCCAACAUUAUGGACAUAUAGUAGACAUUGAACAAAUACUUGCAUCUUUCAGUCAAAGAGAAUUAUCCUCAUAGAAGGGGUGCUGUCAGAUAUGGAACGGUCAUGGGGAAGUGAGAACUCAUGCAAAAUGAAUGCUAAGCCAGAGAAGAGAAUCUAAUUUUCCUUAGUCAGGAGGGAGAGUAGGGAAUACAAUAAAGAAGAAAAUGUUGGAUGGAUGAAACUUGAGAGCUGAGAAGUUACUUACUUUGUAGGAGGUGUUGACUUAAAUAGCUCACCUUCUAGAUACCUCUAGGAGAAUAGCUUGUGAUUGUGGUAAACAGUGGUAAUAACAUUGGAAUACAUGAAGGAAAGUUCUGGGAACUAUAAUUUAUGUUGUCAAGAAGACUUGCGUUUAUAAGAUUCUUAUUCUUACCUUCCUUUGAAAUAAAGUCUGGGUGAUAAAAAGUGGCUUUAAUUUACAGAUGAGGCCAGGAAAUUGGUUCAAUGGGCUCUGAACACUGACCCCCCAAAAAGGCUUUUUUUCCAGUUCACUACUCAGGAUUUUUGGGGAUAGGGAUGAUGAAUGACUAAAUGCUUUCAGUGACUCCUCCCAGCCUCUGCCUUGGUUGUGCUACCAAUGUUCUUCCUCAGCAUGCCAUGUGUGUCUUUCUCCUUUAGUUAUAACUUGCAAGAAAACCAAUUCAUUAUUUCUUUGUCCCCCAUCCCCUCUCCUCUUCAUCAUUUAAUACAUAUAAUAAUAAAUAUCUUAGGCAUAAACAAACAGCCCCCAAAACUUUGGGAUUGGAGGGAAAAUCCAUGACCUACAAAUUCUCUUGAGAUGGAUAUCAUUAUUCUCAACCUCUUGGGACACUUGGCAGGAGAUUCAAGUAUUAGUUCUCCUUGCUAUCAGAGGUAUUUGGCGAAGUUUUUGUUUAGAUUUCUUUUGGGGAAGACAUGCUUAAAUUAAACAUUGAAAUUCAUGAGAAUAUUUCAGUUCCUUGUAAACUUUUCUAAUCACACUUCAAGUGAGGUAUUAUUUGUGGCUUUUCAAUGAGGAAAAGUUCUCCUGACAGGGACUUCCAACAGUACAUUUCAGCAGAUCUCUGAAUUGAUGGUCAAAUGCAGUGUAUCAUAAAAUAGGCUGAAAUAGGUAUGUAGGCAUUACUCAUAACCAUUUUUAAUGGCUUAGAUUCUUCUCUGUUGCAUAGGAUUGUAAAUUGGAUCAUAGAAAAAUGAGUUCUUCUCAGCCAGUGAUACCUGGAUUCCUUUUCAGUUUUUCCAGUAAGAGAAAAGUAAAAUAAUUGAAGCACAUUUUUUUUUUUAAACUUUCCUAUAAAGGUUUUCUGGGAAAAUAUUCUGGGGCAAGGACUGAGUGACCACGGUAUAACAAGGGUAGAGAUCUAUGUAUAGUAGAAAUUUGAUGAAUAAGUGUGGCUCAUUUGCUGCUGUAUGUUUUGGCAGAUGAAUGUAUGACAUCUCUUGGUAAAAUGGCCCAGAAGAAACACAGGAAGAAGUUAUGAAAAGAUAACACCCGUACUAUUGGUAAUGUGUGGUUAAAUAAACUAUCCGUGCAACGGAAUACUGUGCAAACAUCAGAUGGAAAGAGGUAAAUCUACACAUAUGACAUUGAAAGUUGACCACAAUAUACGAGCAAGCGAGAAAGACAAGUUACAAAAUUGAAUACACAUAUGAUCUCAUUUUAAAAAUAUAUAUCUACUUGUCUGUAUUUCUAUUAACAUCUAUAUUUUAAAAAUCCAGAAUAGUCUAGGGAUUGGGACUGAGUCAGAGAAGAGAACUUCUUUACUUUAUUCACUUCUACAUUGUUUAAUCUUUUUUACGAUAUGCAUGAAUUACUUUUAAUAAGUGCAUGAUAUUUCUAAACAGCUAGGACUUGAAAUGUUCCCAACACAGAGAUAAUAAAUACUGAAGGUGAUGGACACCCCCAAAACUCUGAUUUGAUCAUUACAUGCUCUGUGCAUGUACCAAAUAUCAUAGGUACCCCAUAAAUCUGUAAAAUAUUAUAUGUCAGUUUUUUAAACAGCAAAAAAAUAAGUACAUGAUGAUAGUUUUAAUACCACUAAGUAUAUUAAACAUGGUUAUCAGUUUCUGGGAGACUGCUGUUUGGAGAACGUUGUUUCACUUAGUGAGUGCUCAAAGCAGGGCCACUCUGACGGUUUUGCUUCUGCUCCAUACUACUCUCAGUCUUAAAGAGGACAUGCUUUGUUGUGUGCGUGGCAUAUUUUGUGGUGUGCUCCUAAAGCAUGAUCACAAACUAAUGAAACUUGAUAAUGGCAGAUAUUGUCGCAAGGAAUUGAAACUUGAGGUGAAUUUCAGGAUGUUUGAAAGGGUAGAGUUGAGAUAUGCAAGAACUGCAGGCUCUUGAGGACUAUAUUAGUAAAGUCCCAUUUGAUCAAGACCUUUUGGUAUCUGUACCAACAGAGGGACUGAGGCUGUGGCUAUCUUUGUCCAGUAGGGCACAGGCACUGGAUGCUACUCCGUUGCAAAGCAUCAGCCAGCCUGACUUGGCACCCACACCAGUUUUAUAUUAUAACUUAGCAUGGUUUUAUUUUUAUUUAUGCUUUCUUCAUGUCUCUCUCUUGCUUCUGGCACAGCCAUUGUUUCAAUACAUUUCUAUUGAGAAGUUUUAAGGGUGUUCUGAUAAUGAUUUGCAAUUCUUCCUGGCUGGUAGUGGCAACUUUUGAAGUUACCAGCAAGCUGUUCUUCCAAGAUUGAGAAUAAAGGUUGUUGUUUACUUUCUCUUUCACUGACUGACUGAUGAACAGAAUAAUUUAGAGCUUAAGAGGAACCGUCAAGAUUAAAUCAUUAAACAAAACUUAUUGAGAUCCUGUUAUAUGCUGGAUCUUAUUUUCAGUGCUUUGGAAUUUUACCUUCUUCGUGGAGAGCUUAAUGUCAGUGUGAACCAGGACUAGCUGGAGAACUUGUUAGCUGGGCCUUACUGGAGUUUCUGACUCAGUAAGUCAGAAACCUCGGGCUGGGGCCCGAGGGUUUGGAUUUCUAGCAAAUGCUCUGGAGAGUUUCUCUAGGGUAGCACUGUGCAAAAAAAAUAUAAGGUGUGUCACAAAUGCAAACCGUGUAUGUAAUUUCAAGUUUUCUAGAAACCAUAUUAAGAAAGUAAGAAGAGGUGAAAUCUAUUUUAAUGGCAUGUUAUUUGACCUAAUACAAAAUAUUAUUUCAACAUGUAGUCAACAUUACAAAAGUUAUUAAUGACUUAUCUUAUACUGUUUUUUUGGAGGAGUAAGUCUUUGAAACCUGGUAUGUAUUUUAUACUCAUGGCACCUCUCAGUUGGGACUAGCUAAAUUUCAAGUGCUGUAUAGCCUCACGCGUCCAGUAGCCACUGUGUUGAGCAGUACAGCUCUGGAGUAUCAUAGAAUCUAAUAUAUCUUAACCAUUCUUCUUCCCCAACAUACCUGGGGGAUAGGGUAUAUUUCCAACCAUAACAGUGACUCAUUAAGACUACAUUUUCUAGAAAAUGUAUAGGCAGUCCAGCCCCUCGUUUACUUGUGUUAGGGGCUAACAAAGCCCAUGUGUGAAGACGGCAGGUAUGACAUACUUGACUCAGUAAGAAUGCUGCAUUUUGGGCAGGAGGGUCAAUUCCAAGAACAGCACAAUGCUCUGUCCACAUUUACCUAACAUUGGAAUCCUGUGGCUCCAUAGGAGAUGGGACUUGGGGGAAUAAGCAGAAAGAACUGUUUCACAGUAUCUCAAAGACCAUGAGAGCAUCAACAACGUUCUUUUGAGACCUCUCUGAUAGAGUGGACUCUGACUCCUCAGUAAGGAGGAGUUGCAGGUUAAUUCUGCAGCUUACUACAAAACACUGUAAACCUUGAUGUGGUAGGGGCUCCAGUACCCUAACUGUGGUGUCAGGAGCAGUGGUGCCCAGCACAUGCUUGGGGGAAGAUGGCAGAGCAAUGGCAAGACCUGAAAGAAGUGUCCUUGUUCAGGGAGUACAUGUGAGGAACCCUGGGAAUGUCAAGAGACACUCGUACAAUGGCACUUAGACAGGGGCUGAAGGCCAUAUUGAUGUGUGGGACAGAGACAGCAGCACCUGGUUGACUGUUGUUAGAGUGACCUCAUUAUGGGAUAAAUUCUGUAGGGGUUCAGAAGAAGGAUUAGGUAGCAGUAUCAGGAAAGUGUGCAUGCAACAGGCCAAGACUGAGCUAGCCCUGGUGGUUUUAGAUGUGCAAAGAUGGAGGAAUUGGGGUGAGGGAACUUUAGGCAGAGGAAACAGCUGUAGAAAAGACCCAGGUGGGUGAGAGGCAUUUUGACAAGAACAGUGCAUGUCUGGAGAAAACCAGAGGGUGGCAGGGCUGCAAAAGAUGAGCAGAACCGUACUGUCUUGGACCUGGAAUAUCAGACUUAGGACUUUGGUUUUUACUCCAUAGGAAAUGUAAACCCUUAAAGGUUUUUGAGCAGGGCUGUGUUAUGAGUAGAUUGCUGUUGUAGGGGAAAUAACUUGGCAGCUGCAUGUAAGAUAAAAUAUUUUGACAAGAGAUUACAGCCAAGAAGCAGCCUUGUCCAGACGAGGGGUAAGGAGCUACCUGGACCUGAAACUAGGGUUGAGGGCAGAGGUACAGGGAGGAAUGGAGUAGAACUGAUAGCACUUUACACAGGAUGGUGGCGGGGAUAGGAAUAAAGAAGGGAAAGGGAAAGGUCAAAAGGCAGAUGUUGAAAAGGUAGUGGUCAGGGAAGCAAGGAAGGAACGGAGUUAGAAAUAGGAGAGAAAGAAGAGAGAAGCAUGAAUGAGAGACAAAGAGAAGAGAGGGAAGGAAGACAUGAUACCAAGGAUUUGAAGCCAGUGGAACUGUCACCUCUUCAGGACCAUGCAUUGGUACUGAAGGUGACUGGCUAAAUUCAUUCUGACUGUGACCCUUUCCUGGUAGUUACUGGGAGAAGUGUGGGCAGCAGAAUGAGUGUCCCUUAUAACAUGGCUCCCCAGCCCCCAGGCUACGGACUGGUACUCCUACACAGUACAGGUCUGUGGCCUGUUAGGAACUGGGCCGCACAGCAGAAGGUGAGUGGUGGGCGAGUUAAGUGAAGCUUCAUCUAUAUUUACAGCCACUCCCCAUUGCUCACAUUACUGCCUGAGCUUCACCUCCACCUCCUGUCAGAUCAGCAGCAGCAUAAGAUUCUCGAAAGGGCGUGAACCCUACUGUAAACUGCAUAUUUGAGGGAUCUCGGCUGUGUACUUCUUAUGAGAAUCUAAUGUCUGAUGAUCUGUCACUGUCGCCUGUCACCCCCAGAUAGGACCGUCUAGUUGCAGGAAAACAAGCUCAGGGCUUCCGCUGAUUCUACAUUAUGGUGAGUUGUAUAAUUAUUUCAUUAUAUGUUACGGCAUAAUAAUAAUAGAAAUAAAGUACACAAUAAAUGUAAUGCACAUGAAUCAUCCCGAAACCAUCCCCCCGCUUCCCUGUCUGUGGAAAAGUCAUCUUCUGUGAAACCUGUCUCUGAUGCCAAAAGGUUGGAGACUGCUGCUUUAUAAAACAGUCCUACCAUAAGAUAGUAACACAUCCCUGUUGCUAGGAGACACAUUCCACAGUCUUCGGGAGAAGGGGAGAGACGAUUAAUUCCUAAUCAGGUCAGCUAAUAUUCAGAAAAGAUUUUAAAUUUGAUCCAAGACAGAUUUUGCUGAAAUUUGAGAUUAAGGCAGUAGUUUUUAACUCCCUUCCCAGUCCCCCAGGACAGUGACAUCCACCUUUUCUUGCUGACACCUGUCCCAAGGGGGUCUCUGCAGUGUUGCUCAGGCACCACUGGAACGUAUCAAGGAUGCAGCUGUGGCAGCAGCCGGGCUGUUUGAUGCUCCCAGCCUCACAUAACACCACCAUGAGACAGGCAACUGUAUCACUCGCAAGUGGCAGAUUGGAAGCCCAGGCUUAGAGAAAUGGCUAGAAAUGAUAGCAAAAAUCAUCUGCAGGGCAAAAUCUAAGCCCUUAUUUUACACUGUUGAACCAAGAAAGAGGAGAAAAUGUACCCUAUAGUAAAAUUUAGGGGGGAAAACCAUUUGUGCUUCAUUUUGUCUAUAGAUCACAUUUUGACUAUAUUAUAGUGUGGUUUUUUUGUUUUUCUUUUUUUGGUAUGCAUUGUGGUAGGGAGACAUUAAGGAGGUUGAAAAACUUAUUUUAAACCCUUUUGUUUGUUUGUAAGAAAUUUACCCUUUUAUUUCCCCUGGAAGAAAUCUAACAACUCUGGACUGUUGACAGACAUUCCCUUUUGGUGUCCCAACUCUUCCUGAAGCGAAAAUGAGGUAAUAAAAUUUCUAAGCAAAUAUGUAAUCACUGUAAUUUGCAUAUUAUUUUCAUAACCAGAGAUGCAGGGAUUUUCUCCUCCUUCUGUGGGAGAAACCUAAUCACAGAACUUUCUUAAAUUUCAUCUUGUAUCAAAUUUCCUGCCUUAGACAUAUGAACAUAUUAUAAUCUGACCCAUCCUCCCUCCCCAUCUUGCAGCCUUUUUUAAAUAACUAAAUUACUGUACUCAAAUCCUCAUCUUGCACAACAGCAGGAAAUCCAUUCUAUUCCAGACUCUUCCAGAGGACUCUAGAGAGAGUGAUUUCUUACUACCUAUAACAGCUCCUGAAGGCUUCUGCCUCUCUCCAAGCUAUGCUCCAAGAAUAAAUAUAGUUCCCCCUUCAUUCACUAAGGCAUUGCUAAUACAACCUAAAUUAUAGUAAUCAGUUUCCUAAAAGAUGAGCAUGGCAAAGAGAAAUGACAAAGUACAAAGUAAAGCCCUCAGAUAUCAAGAUCCUCUUCAGCAAUUCCAUUUCAGUGAGACCUUCUUUUCUCCUCAUGUUCUGGCUGGCGGCUGGGACCCCAUGCCUCACUCAAUCCCAGGCCUUCUUUGCUUUUCUCCCAAACUCUCAGGUCCCAAACUCUGCAGAGAAAAAUGAAAAUAUAUCAAUUGAAACAAACUAACAAAAACUUCUCUUCCUCAGAAACCCAAUCCACAACUCUCUGCUUAAGGAAGACCCACCUUUACUUUAUUAAAAUGACAUUUACCUCCUUUUGUAACAACUUUCCCCAUUUCAAUUUAGCCUAGGCCUUAUCUCAGACAGUCAAAAAGGCUUUUAAAGCCUUUCUAACAAAAGAGGUAUUUUCCUCUAAAGAUUGAUCCACUACCCAGCUAGCAACAGCCCCAACCUGUAAGCAGAUUUUUGUUCCCACAACAAUAUCAUCCUGAAAUAUUUACUUUUCUGCUGCUUUGUCCUUAUUUAUAUCCAAUGGUGCGGUUAAACAUUUAAAAAGGCUGUUUCUGGGAUUAAAGAAUAUGUGAAGAAGACCAAAGUCAACAAGGAAAUUCUUUAUACAUAUUUAGUAAGCAUGAAGAUAUUCAAACUCUUUUGUAAGGGUAGCUGAGAGAAAGGAGAAUAAACCCAAAGUCAGGCAAGCAAGUUUUAUUAACCUGCCAGGCUACUAGGUAACAAUCAGAGGAGGCAGCCCCAGCUGACAAGACAUGGGUUUAUAUGGGGUGAGAGGAGGCAUAAGGGAGUUUUAGGUAACAGGCACAGAGAUAGUUUGUUAACUUGUAACAGACCUACAAUACAUCAUCCUGUGACUUUUGUGGUAGCAGUCUU
Sapajus apella (tufted capuchin) is the source of this 9101-nucleotide long non-coding RNA. RefSeq lists it as uncharacterized. The record is from RefSeq and is a predicted model, not a curated record. NCBI's taxonomy places the organism in Eukaryota, Metazoa, Chordata, Mammalia, Primates, Cebidae. The transcript is spliced from 2 exons.